ACAUAGGUUCUUAUGAGAACCACACAGAUACAUAUAAGGAGCCCA
Molecule: non-coding RNA, 45 nt
Organism: Pan troglodytes (chimpanzee)
Lineage: Eukaryota; Metazoa; Chordata; Mammalia; Primates; Hominidae
Source: Rfam